UUAAGCGACUAAGCGUACACGGUGGAUGCCCUGGCAGUCAGAGGCGAUGAAGGGCGUGCUAAUCUGCGAUAAGCGCCGGUAAGGUGAUAUGAACCGUUAUAACCGGCGAUACCCGAAUGGGGAAACCCAGUGUGACUCGUCACACUAUCAUUAACUGAAUCCAUAGGUUAAUGAGGCGAACCGGGGGAACUGAAACAUCUAAGUACCCCGAGGAAAAGAAAUCAACCGAGAUUCCCCCAGUAGCGGCGAGCGAACGGGGAGGAGCCCAGAGCCUGAAUCAGCAUGUGUGUUAGUGGAAGCGUCUGGAAAGGCGCGCGAUACAGGGUGACAGCCCCGUACACAAAAGCGCAUGUGCUGUGAGCUCGAUGAGUAGGGCGGGACACGUGGUAUCCUGUCUGAAUAUGGGGGGACCAUCCUCCAAGGCUAAAUACUCCUGACUGACCGAUAGUGAACCAGUACCGUGAGGGAAAGGCGAAAAGAACCCCGGCGAGGGGAGUGAAAAAGAACCUGAAACCGUGUACGUACAAGCAGUGGGAGCACCCUUUUGGGUGUGACUGCGUACCUUUUGUAUAAUGGGUCAGCGACUUAUAUUCUGUAGCAAGGUUAACCGUAUAGGGGAGCCGUAGGGAAACCGAGUCUUAACCGGGCGUUAAGUUGCAGGGUAUAGACCCGAAACCCGGUGAUCUAGCCAUGGGCAGGUUGAAGGUUGGGUAACACUAACUGGAGGACCGAACCGACUAAUGUUGAAAAAUUAGCGGAUGACCUGUGGCUGGGGGUGAAAGGCCAAUCAAACCGGGAGAUAGCUGGUUCUCCCCGAAAGCUAUUUAGGUAGCGCCUCGUGAAUUCAUCUCCGGGGGUAGAGCACUGUUUCGGCUAGGGGGCCAUCCCGGCUUACCAACCCGAUGCAAACUGCGAAUACCGGAGAAUGUUAUCACGGGAGACACACGGCGGGUGCUAACGUCCGUCGUGAAGAGGGAAACAACCCAGACCGCCAGCUAAGGUCCCAAAGUCAUGGUUAAGUGGGAAACGAUGUGGGAAGGCCCAGACAGCCAGGAUGUUGGCUUAGAAGCAGCCAUCAUUUAAAGAAAGCGUAAUAGCUCACUGGUCGAGUCGGCCUGCGCGGAAGAUGUAACGGGGCUAAACCAUGCACCGAAGCUGCGGCAGCGACGCUUAUGCGUUGUUGGGUAGGGGAGCGUUCUGUAAGCCUGUGAAGGUGUGUCGUGAGGCAUGCUGGAGGUAUCAGAAGUGCGAAUGCUGACAUAAGUAACGAUAAAGCGGGUGAAAAGCCCGCUCGCCGGAAGACCAAGGGUUCCUGUCCAACGUUAAUCGGGGCAGGGUGAGUCGACCCCUAAGGCGAGGCCGAAAGGCGUAGUCGAUGGGAAACGGGUUAAUAUUCCCGUACUUGGUGUUACUGCGAAGGGGGGACGGAGAAGGCUAUGUUGGCCGGGCGACGGUUGUCCCGGUUUAAGCGUGUAGGUGUGUGUUCCAGGUAAAUCCGGUUCACUUUAACACUGAGGCGUGACGACGAGGCACUACGGUGCUGAAGCAACAAAUGCCCUGCUUCCAGGAAAAGCCUCUAAGCAUCAGGUAACAUCAAAUCGUACCCCAAACCGACACAGGUGGUCAGGUAGAGAAUACCAAGGCGCUUGAGAGAACUCGGGUGAAGGAACUAGGCAAAAUGGUGCCGUAACUUCGGGAGAAGGCACGCUGACAUGUAGGUGAAGUGAUUUACUCAUGGAGCUGAAGUCAGUCGAAGAUACCAGCUGGCUGCAACUGUUUAUUAAAAACACAGCACUGUGCAAACACGAAAGUGGACGUAUACGGUGUGACGCCUGCCCGGUGCCGGAAGGUUAAUUGAUGGGGUCAGCGCAAGCGAAGCUCCUGAUCGAAGCCCCGGUAAACGGCGGCCGUAACUAUAACGGUCCUAAGGUAGCGAAAUUCCUUGUCGGGUAAGUUCCGACCUGCACGAAUGGCGUAAUGAUGGCCAGGCUGUCUCCACCCGAGACUCAGUGAAAUUGAACUCGCUGUGAAGAUGCAGUGUACCCGCGGCAAGACGGAAAGACCCCGUGAACCUUUACUAUAGCUUGACACUGAACAUUGAGCCUUGAUGUGUAGGAUAGGUGGGAGGCUUUGAAGUGUGGACGCCAGUCUGCAUGGAGCCGACCUUGAAAUACCACCCUUUAAUGUUUGAUGUUCUAACGUGGACCCGUAAUCCGGGUUGCGGACAGUGUCUGGUGGGUAGUUUGACUGGGGCGGUCUCCUCCUAAAGAGUAACGGAGGAGCACGAAGGUUGGCUAAUCCUGGUCGGACAUCAGGAGGUUAGUGCAAUGGCAUAAGCCAGCUUGACUGCGAGCGUGACGGCGCGAGCAGGUGCGAAAGCAGGUCAUAGUGAUCCGGUGGUUCUGAAUGGAAGGGCCAUCGCUCAACGGAUAAAAGGUACUCCGGGGAUAACAGGCUGAUACCGCCCAAGAGUUCAUAUCGACGGCGGUGUUUGGCACCUCGAUGUCGGCUCAUCACAUCCUGGGGCUGAAGUAGGUCCCAAGGGUAUGGCUGUUCGCCAUUUAAAGUGGUACGCGAGCUGGGUUUAGAACGUCGUGAGACAGUUCGGUCCCUAUCUGCCGUGGGCGCUGGAGAACUGAGGGGGGCUGCUCCUAGUACGAGAGGACCGGAGUGGACGCAUCACUGGUGUUCGGGUUGUCAUGCCAAUGGCACUGCCCGGUAGCUAAAUGCGGAAGAGAUAAGUGCUGAAAGCAUCUAAGCACGAAACUUGCCCCGAGAUGAGUUCUCCCUGAGACUUAGAGUCUCCUGAAGGAACGUUGAAGACGACGACGUUGAUAGGCCGGGUGUGUAAGCGCAGCGAUGCGUUGAGCUAACCGGUACUAAUGAACCGUGAGGCUUAACCUU
RNAcentral lists this ribosomal RNA (2904 nucleotides) under Salmonella enterica subsp. enterica serovar Aberdeen. RNAcentral describes it as "bacterial LSU rRNA". It matches the Rfam family "Bacterial large subunit ribosomal RNA". The record is from RNAcentral. Lineage: Bacteria; Pseudomonadati; Pseudomonadota; Gammaproteobacteria; Enterobacterales; Enterobacteriaceae.